GAGUUUGUAUCAUGGCUCAGGAUGAACGCUAGCUACAGGCUUAACACAUGCAAGUCGAGGGGAAACGACAUCGAAAGCUUGCUUUUGAUGGGCGUCGACCGGCGCACGGGUGAGUAACGCGUAUCCAACCUGCCCACCACUUGGGGAUAACCUUGCGAAAGUAAGACUAAUACCCAAUGACGUCUCUAGAAGACAUCUGAAAGAGAUUAAAGAUUUAUCGGUGAUGGAUGGGGAUGCGUCUGAUUAGCUUGUUGGCGGGGUAACGGCCCACCAAGGCGACGAUCAGGUUAGGGGUUCUGAGAGGAACGGUCCCCCCACAUUUGGAACUGAGACACGGUCCAAACUCCUACGGGAGGCA
Molecule: ribosomal RNA, 358 nt
Filed under: uncultured bacterium
Lineage: Bacteria
Description: bacterial SSU rRNA
Rfam family: Bacterial small subunit ribosomal RNA
Source: RNAcentral